CCUACGGGAGGCAGCAGUAGGGAAUAUUGCUCAAUGGGGGAAACCCUGAAGCAGCAACGCCGCGUGGAGGAUGAAGGUUUUCGGAUUGUAAACUUCUUUUGUUAGAGAAGAUAAUGACGGUAUCUAUCUCAUAAGCACCGGCUAACUCCGUGCCCGCAGCCGCGGUAAUACGGAGGGUGCAAGCGUUAUUCGGAAUCACUGGGCGUAAAGAGCGCGUAGGCGGGAUAUCAAGUCAGAUGUGAAAUCCUAUGGCUUAACCAGAGAACUGCAUUUGAAACUGUUAUUCUAGAGUAUGGGAGAGGUAGGUGGAAUUCUUGGUGGAGGGGGAAAAUGCGUAGAGAUCAAGAGGAAUACGCAUUGCGAAGGCGACCUGCUAGAACAUAACUGACGCUGAUGCGCGAAAGCGUGGGGAGCAAACAGGAUUAGAUACCCCAGUAGUC
This 440-nucleotide ribosomal RNA is filed under the name uncultured bacterium. RNAcentral's name for it is "partial 16S ribosomal RNA". It matches the Rfam family "Bacterial small subunit ribosomal RNA", at positions 338 to 795 of the family's 1533-position model. The record is from RNAcentral.